CAAUAGCGUAUAUUUAAGUUGUUGCAGUUAAAAAGCUCGUAGUUGGAUUUCGGAUGGGACUUGCCGGUCCGUCGUUUCGAUGUGCACUGGCCAGUCCUAUCUUGUUGUCGGGGACUAGCUCCUGGGCUUCACUGUCCGGGACUAGGAGCUGACGAGGUUACUUUGAGUAAAUUAGAGUGUUCAAAGCAAGCCUACGCUCUGAAUACAUUAGCAUGGAAUAACACGAUAGGACUCUGGCUUAUCUUGUUGGUCUGUGAGACCAGAGUAAUGAUUAAGAGGGAAAGUCGGGGGCAUUCGUAUUUCAUUGUCAGAGGUGAAAUUCUUGGAUUUAUGAAAGACGAACUUCUGCGAAAGCAUUUGUCAAGGAUGUUUUCAUUA
This 378-nucleotide ribosomal RNA is filed under the name uncultured eukaryote. RNAcentral describes it as "partial 18S ribosomal RNA". It matches the Rfam family "Eukaryotic small subunit ribosomal RNA", at positions 592 to 975 of the family's 1831-position model. The record is from RNAcentral.